CGCCCAACCGUCCCUCCCCCCCGGAUCCGCCACUGCAUCAGUGUUGAGUUCUAAUGCUGUUGGUACUGUUUCAGAUUUACGAGUCGUUUGCACGGCACUUUGGGCAGACAGAGAAAAGAAAGUGCUGCUCCACCUCCACAAAGGAUGGAUGCACAUUGCAAGGAAGAGAAAGGGACUAGUUAGAGUAAUGAUCAGCUCAUCAAUGAGAAUAUUAUUGAUGAACAAGAUAAUUAUUACCCAGCAUGAGUAAUUCAUGCCCUUGCUCAUCUGCUGAAGGAGGUGCAUCUGACCUUUUCACUUGUGAGUUGGAAGUAUAUGCCAGGUGAUAGUUGCAUUGGGUGUGUGGCAACCUUAUAAUGCAAGAAUGUACUUGUACCUGUGGCAUCUUACCAGUUGUUUUCAUAGGAUCAUAUUAAGCACUGAAAGCUUCCUUUUUCUGUUCUUGCAAAUUUGUAUCAGAGACACAAUAAAUGUUUCUUAUUUAGA
Molecule: long non-coding RNA, 486 nt
Organism: Ornithodoros turicata
Lineage: Eukaryota; Metazoa; Arthropoda; Arachnida; Ixodida; Argasidae
Exons: 3
Source: RefSeq, a predicted model, not a curated record